CCACGAUCCCUUCUCUUUCUUUUUCUUCCAGUUUUAUUGAGGUUUGAUCUCAGUUACUCCCUUACUUGAAGAAGGCUUCGAUGAUUCCUCAUGGAGAAAUCCCAGAUACUUCUGCACAUGAUUCAGAGGUCCCUUACAACUGGCUUCAGCCUGCCUUCCAAGCCCUGUCUCUCGCCUCUCCCUUCCUUCACACUGUGCUUCAGCGAGGUAGGAAUGCUUGUGAUUCACCUUCCAGGUCAAGAUGAUUGGCCCCUCGGCCUUCACAUAUGCUGUUCCCUCUGCUGUUCCCCAUGCUGCCCCCAGGGAGCUGCCCAUCACCCGCCAGGACCUUCCUGCCCUGGGUGCACCCAUAGUGCUUUGUGCCUUUCUCUUUCUUGCCACUUGCCACAUUUUACUGUAGUUAUUUGUUUAUAAUUACAAAUAUAAACCUGCUACUCUAGGAGUAAGCUCUUUGAGGGACCUGUGUCUCCCUGGACCUACGACAGUCAGUGCUUGUGACACUAUGGGAAUAGGCGCCUCAUAGGUGUUCCAUGAAUGAAUGGAGGUGGCUUCAGAUUCCAGCUUUCUUUUUACUAAGCUGCUCUAUCCCUUUCAGAUUUCUUUUUUUUUUUUUACAGCUGCAAAUUUUUAUCUAUUCUUUGCCUCUCUGCCCAGUAGCAAUUAACCAGGUUGUAGCAGAUCUAGAGUUUCCAGCUCAGCCCGGAUUGUGUUUCCUUGCUCUUAGCAGCUCAGGGGAAUCUUUUUUCACUUCACGAAGGAUGCAUCUGAGAUUCAGAGCAGGUUCAGUGACCCUUUUAUUAAUUCUUUGUCUGCUCCGACACGCACAGUCUGU
This 832-nucleotide long non-coding RNA is filed under the name Homo sapiens (human). Its description in RNAcentral is "non-protein coding lnc-ITGA6-1:3". The record is from RNAcentral. Lineage: Eukaryota; Metazoa; Chordata; Mammalia; Primates; Hominidae.